UCCUAGCUUCUUAUAAUGUACAGACUAUCAUUUUCUCUACCAAUCAUUUUCACCUUUCCAGUGAAGAUCUCCUGAAAAAUACAAAAAUUAGGGAAGAAAGCUACUAAGCACCUCAACUCUUUUGUCAAUUUAGAUACUGAAAGAAGAUUAAACUUGAACUGAGGGAUAUAAAACAUAUUAGUUACUAUGCUUCUAUUUGAUAUUGUAUUGGCUCCAGUGUGAGUCACUUGUGUUGCAUCCCCAUUAGGCAUGAAGACUCUUUUUGGAUGCUGAACUUGCACUAUAGUAGACUUAUCCAACAAACCUAUAUCUGCUACCAUGUGAUCGGUAGCACCAAUAUCUAUUAUCCAUUUAAAGUACUUGGAUGUACCUGCUAUAUUUGCACUAGAGGUUUGCCCUGUAUGCCCUGUAUUGUUGUUGUUUAACAGCUGUAGGAUCUGUUCAUAUUGCUCUUUAGUAAAAAUGCAACUUGCUAGCUGGCCUUGUAGAUUGAGUUGACUGUUUAUUUUUUGACUCGUAGACUGAUUUCCAGCUCUAUUAUCCCAUACAGUUGAUCAAACAUAUUUCUAGUAGACUGAUUAUUCUGUAUGCUAUUCUGUAUACUAUCCUUAUUUUGAACAUUGUAUGCCACUGCAUUAUUAGAUCUUGAAUUUCCAUUAUUUUCAGCCAUUGAGUUGUAAUUUCCAGCUCCCCUUUCUUUCUGAGUUUAAAUUCUGGGGAAUAUCCCACAAUCUUAUAACAAUUUUCUUUGGUGUGAUCUUUGAGUUUGCAAUAAUCACACUGGACAUUAUAAUUUUUCCUUACUUUCUGAUUAAACCUUUGAUUUUCCCGUAUUAUUGAGUACAUAGCUACAUCAUAUUGAUCAGACAUAUUUGUUGGAUUUGCACCUAACAGCCUUGCUGAGGCUGCUACUGUUUUUUGACUUUCAUCACUUAUUACCAAAGCAUAUGCCUGAUAAACUGAAGGCAUUAAACUCAUUAGCAAGAUUUGACUUCUUGCUUGACUGGAUGAGUCAUUCAACCCUAUCAAGAAUUGAUUCAUUUUAGCUUCUAUAGAUGUAUUACAAAGUCCCUUGACAUUGCACAAUCACAACCAGGGGAUGUGACCAAAGCUUCAAAUUCUUCCCACAAAUCCAUUAACUUUGAAAAAUAGACAGAAACAGAAGCAGUUCCUUGACUUAAAGUGGCGAUUUCUUUGUGAAGAUUAAACGAUCUUGCACUAUAAAUUUUGUUAAAUCGUUCGAAUAAAUCAUUUCACACAGCUUAUGUACUUGACGCAUACAUAAUUCCACCUAGUAAUUCACUAGCCACCGAAUUCAUAAUCCAAGAAAGAACUAUAACAUUAACUCUUUUCCAGUGAUUCCCAAAUUUUCUGGAAAUUUAUCUUUAGUACAAGUACCAUCUACUAACCACAUUAUUCCUCCCUAAUAGAGCUACCCUAAUUGAUCUAAACUAAAUCGAGUAGUUUUCAAUACUUGUCAGCUGAAACGAGAUAAUCUGGAUGCCACUGACAUCUGUUGGAGACAAAAAAAAUGGGUGAUUGUAAUCUACCUUAGCCAUUUGAUUUACUCCUAUCAUCGUAGAAGGAAUUGGAGUUGUUGCAUGUGUUUCAUUUGUUAGAUCCAGUGGAAUCGCCAUUGUUGACCAAGAAACUCAAGAUUUCAAUCGUGAAAAUACAACCCAGAAAUGUGAACAACUGAUUUGAUUGUGUCAGAAUGGAACCACACUAGAAUUUCUAUCUAUAGCUCUGAUACCAUGAAAUUGUG
RNAcentral lists this long non-coding RNA (1765 nucleotides) under Nicotiana benthamiana. Its description in RNAcentral is "long non-coding RNA (NBEN_LNC034853)". The record is from RNAcentral. Lineage: Eukaryota; Viridiplantae; Streptophyta; Magnoliopsida; Solanales; Solanaceae.